AGAGCGAACGCUGGCGGCAGGCUUAACACAUGCAAGUCGAGCGGGCGUAGCAAUACGUCAGCGGCAGACGGGUGAGUAACGCGUGGGAACGUACCUUUUGGUUCGGAACAACACAGGGAAACUUGUGCUAAUACCGGAUAAGCCCUUACGGGGAAAGAUUUAUCGCCAAAAGAUCGGCCCGCGUCUGAUUAGCUAGUUGGUGAGGUAACGGCUCACCAAGGCGACGAUCAGUAGCUGGUCUGAGAGGAUGAUCAGCCACAUUGGGACUGAGACACGGCCCAAACUCCUACGGGAGGCAGCAGUGGGGAAUAUUGGACAAUGGGCGCAAGCCUGAUCCAGCCAUGCCGCGUGAGUGAUGAAAGGCCCUAGGGUUGUAAAGCUCUUUUGUGCGGGAAGAUAAUGACGGUACCGCAAGAAUAAGCCCGGCUAACUUCGUGCCAGCAGCCGC
This 448-nucleotide ribosomal RNA is filed under the name uncultured bacterium. RNAcentral describes it as "SSU rRNA". It matches the Rfam family "Bacterial small subunit ribosomal RNA", at positions 26 to 518 of the family's 1533-position model. The record is from RNAcentral.